UAGGGAAUAUUGCGCAAUGGACGCAAGUCUGACGCAGCAACGCCGCGUGGGUGAUGAAGCUCCUUGGAGUGUAAAACCCUGUCAGUGGGGAAGAAACGUAUGGGUAGUAACUGACUCGUACUUGACGGUACCCACAGAGGAAGUCCCGGCUAACUCCGUGCCAGCAGCCGCGGUAAUACGGGGGGGACGAGCGUUGUUCGGAUUUACUGGGCGUAAAGGGCGCGUAGGCGGACCUCUAAGUCGGGUGUGAAAACUGUUGGCUUAACUGACAGCCUGCACUCGAUACUGGAGGCCUUGAGUACGGAAGAGGAGAGUGGAAUUCCAGGUGUAGCGGUGGAAUGCGUAGAUAUCUGGAAGAACACCAGUAGCGAAGGCGGCUCUCUGGUCCGAUACUGACGCUCAAGCGCGAAGGCUUGGGGAGCAAACA
RNAcentral lists this ribosomal RNA (427 nucleotides) under uncultured prokaryote. RNAcentral describes it as "bacterial SSU rRNA". It matches the Rfam family "Bacterial small subunit ribosomal RNA", at positions 355 to 774 of the family's 1533-position model. The record is from RNAcentral.